This is a long non-coding RNA of Papaver somniferum (opium poppy), 167 nucleotides long. RefSeq lists it as uncharacterized. The record is from RefSeq and is a predicted model, not a curated record. The transcript has 3 exons. NCBI's taxonomy places the organism in Eukaryota, Viridiplantae, Streptophyta, Magnoliopsida, Ranunculales, Papaveraceae.
UGAUCAGUCAGUUACAUAGAUAUAAGCUUUUGUACAGCCACAAGGCCAUGGUUUGGGGCUUUGUCAGUUCGAACCAGAUGGAAACCGGGUGAGGGAUUUUUAAUCUGGAAGGGAUCGAGGUCUUCUUCUAUUUUGAUUUUUGGGUUGGUACUUUCUUUUAAUCCGGU